Molecule: non-coding RNA, 99 nt
Organism: Acanthosepion pharaonis
Lineage: Eukaryota; Metazoa; Mollusca; Cephalopoda; Sepiida; Sepiidae
Source: the annotation of a GenBank genome assembly
AUUGAAAAACUGAUUCCCGUAAGAUUAGCGAAGUUAAGCAACGUCGAACCUGGUCAGUACCAAGAUGAGUGAACUCAUAGGAAUACCAGGUGCUGUUAG